Gymnodraco acuticeps is the source of this 794-nucleotide long non-coding RNA. RefSeq lists it as uncharacterized. The record is from RefSeq and is a predicted model, not a curated record. NCBI's taxonomy places the organism in Eukaryota, Metazoa, Chordata, Actinopteri, Perciformes, Bathydraconidae. The transcript has 2 exons.
UUCUUUGGUCGGCUCCACGGUCCACACGAAUGGCUCUAAAGGGAAGACCAAAAAACCCACUCGUUAAAGCUCACUGUUUGAAAAAGCAUUGCUUAUAUUGUGUGUUAUUGUUUCUGAAUCUCCAAAGUAACUCAAGUUAUAAAAUACUUGUAGGCAUAAAAAGUACAAUAUUUGCUUCUGGAUUUGACUGGAGAAGAAUUAGAAAGUCGCAGGGAAUAUAAAUACUCAAUUAUAGUAAACGUAGUUCAAAUUGUAAUAAACACUUUGCUUUUAUCAUCUGAUAAGUGUUAAAAGGAGCACUUCCUGUUUCAAACACACCUUGUUUGGGGUUGGGGGAGGUGAGAAGCUGCUCCAGAGAGGGCAGGGGCGUACGGGCAGGAGAAGAGUUCUCGGUCUCGGUGGUCUCCAUUCCCUCGCCCUCCUCCCUGGCCAUAGACUGCAGGUCGCUGAGGGUCAUCAGUCCCAGCCCCGCCUGGUUGGGAUCUGUGUUUCUGCGGGAGUCCGACAUCAGGGACUUACGGCUGGACUGCACAACUACUGAAUCUGAAAGAGUUCAAGGGUGGCUGCCUCUGCACGUGCGGCUGAGUGAGAAGAGCAAGACGCUGGUGCAUUUAUCAGAUCAAAUGCAUCUGAGUUUAGACCAGAUUUUGAUGUGUGGUCUGGAUUCAGAGAAACGUACAAUCAGGUUGAUGGUUUCCCGGGCUCGAGGCCAGUACAAAGCUGAGGUGGAACAGUAAACUUGAGAGCUCACAGUGCCAAGAGCAGAAACAGUAAUACAAAUCUUGAGUCUAUAA